AACGAACGCUGGCGGCAUGCCUAACACAUGCAAGUCGAGCGAGAAGGUGUAGCAAUACACUUGUAAAGCGGCGAACGGGUGAGGAAUGCAUGGGUAACCUACCCUCGAGUGGGGAAUAACUAGCCGAAAGGUUAGCUAAUACCGCAUACGUUUCCGGAACUUCGGUUUCGGAAAGAAAGCAAUACCGUGGGUAUUGCGCUCCUGGAUGGGCUCAUGUCCUAUCAGCUUGUUGGUGAGGUAACGGCUCACCAAGGCUUCGACGGGUAGCUGGUCUGAGAGGACGAUCAGCCACACUGGCACUGCGACACGGGCCAGACUCCUACGGGAGGCAGCAGUAAGGAAUAUUGCGCAAUGGACGAAAGUCUGACGCAGCGACGCCGCGUGGGGGAUGAAGGUCUUCGGAUUGUAAACCCCUUUCGGGAGGGAAGAUGGGAGUGGGGUAACCACUUGGACGGUACUCCAGAAGCAGCCACGGCUAACUUCGUGCCAGCAGCCGCGGUAA
RNAcentral lists this ribosomal RNA (502 nucleotides) under uncultured bacterium. RNAcentral describes it as "bacterial SSU rRNA". It matches the Rfam family "Bacterial small subunit ribosomal RNA", at positions 29 to 523 of the family's 1533-position model. The record is from RNAcentral.